RNAcentral lists this long non-coding RNA (884 nucleotides) under Sinocyclocheilus anshuiensis. RNAcentral describes it as "lncRNA (ENSSANG00000044727.1)". The record is from RNAcentral. Lineage: Eukaryota; Metazoa; Chordata; Actinopteri; Cypriniformes; Cyprinidae.
AUGGUAAUUACUCGAGCGGGAGGCGGGAAUCUGCGUGUUGUUGGUGCCCGAGGGAAGAGGUCAGUUACUCUAAGGUUUAUGUGUUGAAACGAUGCGUGUUGAGCGGUGCGUGAUUCACCUAGCAAGAAGAAUGAGUCCCCAGACGAGCAGCAGCAGCUCAAUGAACACAACCGAAGACGAAUCAGAAGUGACAUCAUGGCUAUUAUUUGCAUCCAGAGAUGUGAUUAACAAAAACAUAAAACCACAGGAGGAGGGAGGAAAUGCUACAUGCAAAAUUAUGUGCCAUGUAUAUCUGAUGAAAUGAUGAGUUGAAUGAUUUGGAAAGACUCAACGACUCUUCACCAGAUGUUAUUGAGGAACCUGGAGAACCCAUCAGGAAUGAAGUGGAACAUUUGUGGCCUCCUGCUCAUUUUAUCUGUCCCCUUCUGCAUAUCUGUAGGACCUUGGUCUAAGCCCUGUGAUAAAACUCACAACUACUUAUGUCCUAUUCCUGGCAGCACUUCAAAUGAAACUGGAAAUAUGGAUAUAUUAAUCCUGGGUAGAGAUGGUUUCAUGGGAUACUUGAAAACAGGGAACAAGUCCACUAUUCUGUGCAGUUCUAGUGGAUCGUCAGUAAACGCUACACAACAACUACUCAGCAUGACUGUUUUUUCAUUCGAAGAAAAUACAAACUGUACAAAAAACACUUUGCCAACAAACAGCAGCGACUAUGGAGUGAUUUUAUCAAGAUACUCACCAUACGAACUCCAUAUAAGCAGAUAUGCUAUACCCACAUUUGUUUGUUUAAUUGAAGGGAAAUGCAGAAAUGGCACUUUGACAGACUGGAUUACGGGAGGUGAAUGAAAGAUCUGUCGUUUUGCUUCUAUGCAUUUGGUAGCCUGUGA